This 73-nucleotide transfer RNA is filed under the name Cricetulus griseus (Chinese hamster). Its description in RNAcentral is "tRNA-Lys (CTT) (tRNA-Lys-CTT-24-1)". It matches the Rfam family "tRNA". From Rfam's summary of the family: Transfer RNA (tRNA) molecules are approximately 80 nucleotides in length. Their secondary structure includes four short double-helical elements and three loops (D, anti-codon, and T loops). The record is from Rfam by way of RNAcentral. Lineage: Eukaryota; Metazoa; Chordata; Mammalia; Rodentia; Cricetidae.
ACCUGGCUAGCUCAGUCGGUAGAGCAUGAGACUCUUAAUCUCAAGGUCGUGGGUUCAUGCCCCAUGUUGGGCA